UCCGUAACUUCGGGAGAAGGUGCGCCGGCUAGGGUGAAGGAUUUACUCCGUAAGCUCUGGCUGGUCGAAGAUACCAGGCCGCUGCGACUGUUUAUUAAAAACACAGCACUCUGCAAACACGAAAGUGGACGUAUAGGGUGUGACGCCUGCCCGGUGCCGGAAGGUUAAUUGAUGGGGUUAGCGCAAGCGAAGCUCUUGAUCGAAGCCCCGGUAAACGGCGGCCGUAACUAUAACGGUCCUAAGGUAGCGAAAUUCCUUGUCGGGUAAGUUCCGACCUGCACGAAUGGCGUAACGAUGGCGGCGCUGUCUCCACCCGAGACUCAGUGAAAUUGAAAUCGCUGUGAAGAUGCAGUGUAUCCGCGGCUAGACGGAAAGACCCCGUGAACCUUUACUGUAGCUUUGCACUGGACUUUGAGCCUGCUUGUGUAGGAUAGGUGGGAGGCUUUGAAGCGUGGACGCCAGUUCGCGUGGAGCCAUCCUUGAAAUACCACCCUGGCAUGCUUGAGGUUCUAACUCUGGUCCGUGAUCCGGAUCGAGGACAGUGUAUGGUGGGCAGUUUGACUGGGGCGGUCUCCUCCUAAAGAGUAACGGAGGAGUACGAAGGUGCGCUCAGACCGGUCGGAAAUCGGUCGCAGAGUAUAAAGGCAAAAGCGCGCUUGACUGCGAGACAGACACGUCGAGCAGGUACGAAAGUAGGUCUUAGUGAUCCGGUGGUUCUGUAUGGAAGGGCCAUCGCUCAACGGAUAAAAGGUACUCCGGGGAUAACAGGCUGAUACCGCCCAAGAGUUCAUAUCGACGGCGGUGUUUGGCACCUCGAUGUCGGCUCAUCACAUCCUGGGGCUGAAGCCGGUCCCAAGGGUAUGGCUGUUCGCCAUUUAAAGUGGUACGCGAGCUGGGUUUAGAACGUCGUGAGACAGUUCGGUCCCUAUCUGCCGUGGACGUUUGAGAUUUGAGAGGGGCUGCUCCUAGUACGAGAGGACCGGAGUGGACGAACCUCUGGUGUUCCGGUUGUCACGCCAGUGGCAUUGCCGGGUAGCUAUGUUCGGAAAAGAUAACCGCUGAAAGCAUCUAAGCGGGAAACUUGCCUCAAGAUGAGAUCUCACUGGGAACUUGAUUCCCCUGAAGGGCCGUCGAAGACUACGACGUUGAUAGGCUGGGUGUGUAAGCGUUGUGAGGCGUUGAGCUAACCAGUACUAAUUGCCCGUGAGGCUUGACCAU
This 1218-nucleotide ribosomal RNA is filed under the name Pseudomonas aeruginosa. RNAcentral's name for it is "bacterial LSU rRNA". It matches the Rfam family "Bacterial large subunit ribosomal RNA", at positions 1727 to 2925 of the family's 2925-position model. Lineage: Bacteria; Pseudomonadati; Pseudomonadota; Gammaproteobacteria; Pseudomonadales; Pseudomonadaceae. The record is from RNAcentral.